This 497-nucleotide ribosomal RNA is filed under the name uncultured bacterium. RNAcentral's name for it is "partial 16S ribosomal RNA". It matches the Rfam family "Bacterial small subunit ribosomal RNA", at positions 28 to 507 of the family's 1533-position model. The record is from RNAcentral.
GAUGAACGCUGGCGGCGUGCCUAAUACAUGCAAGUCGAGCGAACGGACGAGAAGCUUGCUUUUCUGAUGUUAGCGGCGGACGGGUGAGUAACACGUGGAUAACCUACCUAUAAGACUGGGAUAACUUCGGGAAACCGGAGCUAAUACCGGAUAAUAUUUUGAACCGCAUGGUUCAAAAGUGAAAGACGGUCUUGCUGUCACUUAUAGAUGGAUCCGCGCUGCAUUAGCUAGUUGGUAAGGUAACGGCUUACCAAGGCAACGAUGCAUAGCCGACCUGAGAGGGUGAUCAGCCACACUGGAACUGAGACACGGUCCAGACUCCUACGGGAGGCAGCAGUGGGGAAUCUUCCACAAUGGGCGAAAGCCUGACGGAGCAACGCCGCGUGAGUGAUGAAGGUCUUCGGAUCGUAAAACGCUGUUAUUAGGGAAGAAAAUAUGUGUAAGUAACUGUGCACAUCUUGACGGUACCUAAACAGAAAGCCACGGCUAACUACGUG